GAUGAAGAACGUAGCGAAAUGCGAUAAGUAAUGUGAAUUGCAGAAUUCAGUGAAUCAUCGAAUCUUUGAACGCACAUUGCGCCCGCCAGCAUUCUGGCGGGCAUGCCUGUUCGAGCGUCAUUUCAACCCUCGAGCCCCCCCGGGGGCCUCGGUGUUGGGGGACGGCACACCAGCCGCCCCCGAAAUGCAGUGGCGACCCCGCCGCAGCCUCCCCUGCGUAGUAGCACACACCUCGCACCGGAGCGCGGAGGCGGUCACGCCGUAAAACGCCCAACUUCUGAAUGUUGACCUCGGAUCAGGUAGGAAUACCCGCUGAACUUAAGCAUAUCAAUAAGCGGAGGA
RNAcentral lists this unclassified non-coding RNA (342 nucleotides) under soil metagenome. RNAcentral describes it as "partial contains 5.8S ribosomal RNA, internal transcribed spacer 2, and large subunit ribosomal RNA". The stretch from base 1 to 120 matches the Rfam family "5.8S ribosomal RNA", at positions 35 to 154 of the family's 154-position model. The record is from RNAcentral.